RNAcentral lists this transfer RNA (69 nucleotides) under Cordylochernes scorpioides. RNAcentral's name for it is "tRNA-Gly". Lineage: Eukaryota; Metazoa; Arthropoda; Arachnida; Pseudoscorpiones; Chernetidae. The record is from RNAcentral.
UGCAUCGGCCGGGAAUCGAACCCGCCGCCCGCGUGGCAGGCAAGCAUUCUACCACUGAACCACCGAUGG